AAAUACCAUGCGUAUUUACCAUUGCCGGGGAGCAAUGGUAGAAAUUGUGGUUCAAUCACGCGAGUGAGAGCAACCCUUCAUCGCUGGUCGUUCCGAGCAGCGCCCUUGUAAUGUGUAUCUGAAAUCAAGUGUGACUACCCGCUGAACUUAAGCAUAUCAAUAAGCGGAGGAAAAGAAAUCAAACGAGAUUUCCCUAGUAACUGCGAGUGAACAGGAA
This 217-nucleotide unclassified non-coding RNA is filed under the name uncultured soil eukaryote. RNAcentral's name for it is "sequence contains ITS2, 28S rRNA gene". The stretch from base 115 to 217 matches the Rfam family "Eukaryotic large subunit ribosomal RNA", at positions 1 to 103 of the family's 3401-position model. The record is from RNAcentral.